CAAAAUCUAAAUUUAUUGUUAUACCUUUUCGUUUAGAAGCUAUGUGGCUUGAGGAUCCUAGAUUUGGUCAUGUUGUUUAACGGUGUUGGUCUUCCUUAUAUGCUUAUAUUGCCAAUCCAUCUAUUUUUGAUAAAUUUAGCUCUUUACAAAAGCAUGUUGUCAAAUGGAAUAAAAUUGUUUUUGGUCAACUUAGAGUUAAUAUUCAAACUGCUAAAUGUAACUUAGCUUUUGCCCGUCAACAAUUUGAUCUUGUGCCUUCUGUUUUCAAUAAUAAUGAUUUGGCUAUUGUCUUAAGUUAUAUUUGGAUGCUUUACAUCUUGAGGAAAUAUUUUGGCAUAAAAAAUCUAGAGUUUAGUGGAUCAAAGCUGGUAAUUUGAAUACCCACUUUUUUCAUAUUUCCACCCUUGUUCACAGAUACAGGAAUCAUAUUCAGUGCAUUAAGCAUGAUAAUAGUUCUUGGGUUACUGGUCAAGAAGAAGUUUCUAAUGUUCUUGUGGACUUUUUCAAAAAUUUGUUUACUUCUUCUGGUUCUUCAUCUUGUUCUCUUUAUAUGUUGAACUUUAUUGUUAAAACCCAUGUUUCAGAUGCUUCUAAUUCAGAUCUUGUUGUUCCUAUUACUGAUUUAGAAAUCACUACCGCUCUUCAUGCUAUGGGUCCUUUGAAGUGUCCUGGCGUUGAUGGGUUACAGGCUGGACUGAUCAAAAGAUUAAUUUCCAAAAGUCUAGUAUUAUGUUCUCUUCGAAUAUCUCACUUCAUGAUGCUAGGCGGUUUGCAAAAAAAUUGAAUGUUAAAGUUUCUCCUAAUCCAUGUGCUGGAGGUAUAACUCGUGAUAAUGUUGGUCUUUUUGUUGCUGGCUUUUCUCAUCACUUGUGACUGAAUUCUUCUACUACAACUGAGAUUUGGGCAAUUCAUAAUGGACCUCUUCUUGCUAUUAAGAUGAAUAUUUCUCAUCUUGUGGUGGAAAGUGACUACUUAAACUAUUUCUUUUUGUAAAUAUGAUGUUUCUCCUCCUUGGUACUUGAGAGGUCUUCAACUUAACAUUCUUCAACUGGUUAACUCCUUUCAAGUAGUUAUUUUUGUGUACAAUCUUCGUAAGGAGAAUAUGGUGGUUGAUGUUUUGUCCAAGAAAGCUUUAGUUCCUUCUGUUUCUCAGGAGUGGAUUGCCCAUCCCCCUCCUUGUAUUUUGUAAACUCUUCAUGAUGAUCAUAUGUGGAUGGCUUUGCCCCGUGUUGUCAGAGCCGUUUAGUUUGUAUAUAAAGCUUGUUGUUUACCAAAAAAACAACAACGUGUAUUUAUAAA
Long non-coding RNA from Papaver somniferum (opium poppy), 1299 nucleotides. RefSeq lists it as uncharacterized. The transcript is spliced from 3 exons. The record is from RefSeq and is a predicted model, not a curated record. Lineage: Eukaryota; Viridiplantae; Streptophyta; Magnoliopsida; Ranunculales; Papaveraceae.